Molecule: ribosomal RNA, 497 nt
Filed under: uncultured bacterium
Lineage: Bacteria
Description: partial 16S ribosomal RNA
Rfam family: Bacterial small subunit ribosomal RNA
Source: RNAcentral
GACGAACGCUGGCGGCGUGCCUAAUACAUGCCAGUCGAACGCUGAAGUGAGGAGCUUGCUCUUCUUGGAUGAGUUGCGAACGGGUGAGUAACGCGUAGGUAACCUGCCUUGUAGCGGGGGAUAACUAUUGGAAACGAUAGCUAAUACCGCAUAACAAUGGAUGACCCAUGUCAUUUAUUUGAAAGGGGCAAAUGCUCCACUACAAGAUGGACCUGCGUUGUAUUAGCUAGUAGGUGAGGUAACGGCUCACCUAGGCGACGAUACAUAGCCGACCUGAGAGGGUGAUCGGCCAAACUGGGACUGAGACACGGCCCAGACUCCUACGGGAGGCAGCAGUAGGGAAUCUUCGGCAAUGGGGGCAACCCUGACCGAGCAACGCCGCGUGAGGGAAGAAGGGUUUCGGAUCGGAAAGCUCUGUUGUAAGUCAAGAACGAGGGUGAGAGUGGAAAGUUCACACUGCGACGGUAGCUUACCAGAAAGGGACGGCUAACUACGUG